Molecule: ribosomal RNA, 253 nt
Filed under: uncultured bacterium
Lineage: Bacteria
Description: partial 16S ribosomal RNA
Rfam family: Bacterial small subunit ribosomal RNA
Source: RNAcentral
UACGAAGGGGGCUAGCGUUGCUCGGAAUCACUGGGCGUAAAGGGUGCGUAGGCGGGUCUUUAAGUCAGGGGUGAAAUCCUGGAGCUCAACUCCAGAACUGCCUUUGAUACUGAGGAUCUUGAGUUCGGGAGAGGUGAGUGGAACUGCGAGUGUAGAGGUGAAAUUCGUAGAUAUUCGCAAGAAUACCAGUGGCGAAGGCGGCUCACUGGCCCGAUACUGACGCUGAGGCACGAAAGCGUGGGGAGCAAACAGG